This 468-nucleotide ribosomal RNA is filed under the name uncultured bacterium. Its description in RNAcentral is "partial 16S ribosomal RNA". It matches the Rfam family "Bacterial small subunit ribosomal RNA", at positions 28 to 507 of the family's 1533-position model. The record is from RNAcentral.
GACGAACGCUGGCGGCGUGCUUAACACAUGCAAGUCGAACGGAAAGGCCCUGCUUUUGUGGGGGGCUCGAGUGGCGAACGGGUGAGUAACACGUGAGUAACCUGCCCUUGACUUUGGGAUAACUUCGGGAAACUGGGGUUAAUACCGGAUAGGAGCUCCUGCUGCAUGGUGGGGGUUGGAAAGUUUCGGCGGUUGGGGAUGGACUCGCGGCUUAUCAGCUUGUUGGUGGGGUAGUGGCUUACCAAGGCUUUGACGGGUAGCCGGCCUGAGAGGGUGACCGGCCACAUUGGGACUGAGAUACGGCCCAGACUCCUACGGGCGGCAGCAGUGGGGAUUAUUGCACAAUGGGCGGAAGCCUGAUGCAGCAACGCCGCGUGCGGGAUGACGGCCUUCGGGUUGUAAACCGCCUUCGCCUGUGACGAAGCGUGAGUGACGGUAAUGGGUAAAGAAGCACCGGCUAACUACGUG